GGGUGAGUAACACGUGAGUAACCUGCCCCUUUCUUUUUGGAUAACUGCACGAAAGUGUGGCUAAUACGGGAUAUUCUGGGCUGCCUGCAUGGGUGGUUUGGGAAAGAUUCACCUUUGGGUGUUUGGUGGGGGAUGGGCUCGCGGCCUAUCAGCUUGUUGGUGGGGUGAUGGCCUACCAAGGCGGUGACGGGUAGCCGGCCUGAGAGGGUGGACGGUCACACUGGGACUGAGAUACGGCCCAG
Molecule: ribosomal RNA, 242 nt
Filed under: uncultured bacterium
Lineage: Bacteria
Description: partial 16S ribosomal RNA
Rfam family: Bacterial small subunit ribosomal RNA
Source: RNAcentral